CGGGCAUGGCCGGUCGUAUAACACAUGCAGUCAAACGGUGAAGCACGAGCUUGCUCUUGUGGAUCAGUGGCGAACGGGUGAGUAACACGUGAGCAACCUGCCCCUGACUCUGGGAUAAGCGCUGGAAACGGCGUCUAAUACUGGAUAUGUGACGUGAUCGCAUGGUCUGCGUCUGGAAAGAUUUUUCGGUUGGGGAUGGGCUCGCGGCCUAUCAGCUUGUUGGUGAGGUAAUGGCUCACCAAGGCGUCGACGGGUAGCCGGCCUGAGAGGGUGACCGGCCACACUGGGACUGAGACACGGCCCAGACUCCUACGGGAGGCAGCAGUGGGGAAUAUUGCACAAUGGGCGCAAGCCUGAUGCAGCAACGCCGCGUGAGGGAUGACGGCCUUCGGGUUGUAAACCUCUUUUAGCAGGGAAGAAGCGAAAGUGACGGUACCUGCAGAAAAAGCGCCGGCUAACUACGUGCCAGCAGCCGCGGUAAUACGUAGGGCGCAAGCGUUAUCCGGAAUUAUUGGGCGUAAAGAGCUCGUAGGCGGUUUGUCGCGUCUGCUGUGAAAUCCCGAGGCUCAACCUCGGGCCUGCAGUGGGUACGGGCAGACUAGAGUGCGGUAGGGGAGAUUGGAAUUCCUGGUGUAGCGGUGGAAUGCGCAGAUAUCAGGAGGAACACCGAUGGCGAAGGCAGAUCUCUGGGCCGUAACUGACGCUGAGGAGCGAAAGGGUGGGGAGCAAACAGGCUUAGAUACCCUGGUAGUCCACCCCGUAAACGUUGGGAACUAGUUGUGGGGUCCAUUCCACGGAUUCCGUGACGCAGCUAACGCAUUAAGUUCCCCGCCUGGGGAGUACGGCCGCAAGGCUAAACUCAAAGGAUUGACGGGGACCCGCACAAGCGGCGGAGCAUGCGAUAAUUCGAUGCACGCGAGACCUACCAGGCUGACAUAUACAGACGGGCAGAAUGUCACUCUUUGGACACUCGUAACAGUGUGCAUGGUGUCGUCAGCUCGUGUCUGAGAUGUGGGUAAGUCCGCACGAGCGCACCUCGUCUUUGUGCCAGCCGUAUGGUGGACUCUGGAUACUGCGGGCACUCGAGGAGGGGGGAUGACGUCAU
This 1105-nucleotide ribosomal RNA is filed under the name Microbacterium sp. Its description in RNAcentral is "bacterial SSU rRNA". It matches the Rfam family "Bacterial small subunit ribosomal RNA", at positions 30 to 1190 of the family's 1533-position model. The record is from RNAcentral. Lineage: Bacteria; Bacillati; Actinomycetota; Actinomycetes; Micrococcales; Microbacteriaceae.